Molecule: ribosomal RNA, 253 nt
Filed under: uncultured bacterium
Lineage: Bacteria
Description: partial 16S ribosomal RNA
Rfam family: Bacterial small subunit ribosomal RNA
Source: RNAcentral
UACGUAGGGGGCAAGCGUUGUCCGGAUUUAUUGGGCGUAAAGGGCUCGUAGGUGGCCAACUAAGUCAGACGUGAAAUCCCUCAGCUUAACUGGGGAACUGCGUCUGAUACUGGAUGGCUUGAGUUUGGGAGAGGGAUGCGGAAUUCCAGGUGUAGCGGUGAAAUGCGUAGAUAUCUGGAGGAACACCGGUGGCGAAGGCGGCAUCCUGGACCAACACUGACACUGAUGAGCGAAAGCCAGGGGAGCAAACGGG